AUUUUUAGAUCCGGGCUUAGAGAUUUUAGGUUUCAGGGAGGGAAAAUAUUUGGAGAAAGAGAAAGAAAAGAGGGGGAAAUGGAGGAAAGAGAGAAAGUAUGGAGAAAGAGCAGGGAUAAAAGGAAUUGACACUGUUAUUACAAAUUAAAAAUUGUCAGGACUAUUAAAGAUGUGAGACUUAGGUUGUUGAACUUGGAUUUGCUUAGCUCGGUUAAUUUGUUUGGGACUUAGCAGGAGUCAGUAUACUCAUUUUGUGGAGUAAUAUAGGAAGCAGUUAGGUGAACAAGGAGAAAAUGUCACCCAGUUUCCGAGAAGAGUUGUGAAAUGUAGGUAGAAUUUUGCUUAAUUGUUUAUUUUGUUUUAAACUAUUUCUUAUUCUGGGCGAAAUUGAUGUAAUAACUGUGAAAACUGGAGAAUCUUGAGCAGUAAUCACCUCAUUAAAGGUGAUAUUUGAAGCUUUAAACUAGUCGAAAAUGGAAGUGACACAAGAAGGAGCAAUUCUGUAGACCCAAACAUUACCUUCUCGUUUGUCUAGCCUGGUAGAUCUCUGGUAUGCUCUUUUCCUGCUCACCACCAGUUCCCUCAAAUCCUCAAUGACUUCUCUGUUUAAGUUCCAGUUAUUAUGACGCAUUGUCCCAACAUUUUGUUCAAUGAAACUCUGGUCAAUUACAUCCAUAUCUAAAUAGUUGAAUCUUUGUUCAGGAGUAUGUCUAUUUGCAUAUGGACUGGAAGUCUCCAAAAUUCCGGAACUACUUGCUCUUGGAGAACCUUGCCUGGGACUUUGAGAGGCGUUGAAACUGUUAAUUAGGACCUUAGAAGGGUAAAUAAGAGAUAAUGCGCUAUCAUUUCUUGGUUUUGAUUCUUGUGAAGCUCUAUUCUCAGAAUUAGGGUGAUUUUCCGUAUCCGAUUUUAAUCCUGUUGUUCCUAUUUUCUGAUUGGAAGAGAAGUUGAUUUCAUCCCCAUAGACGGCCAUGUUUGAUGUAGAAACUGUCUUCUUCAAGCCACUGGUUAGUUCCACAUCAGAAGCUCUAUAUUGGUCAAGAUCGUUGAUUUGAGAUUUCAUUCUCUUACUAAAGCUCCCAAUAGUCCCGUAAUGCAAUCCAAAAACGUUGCAGCCGAGAGCUUUCCUACCCUGAAUGAUUUCACUCCACUUUAGAGCACCAUCUUGGCUAUCUCCAUACAUAGUAAUUAAAUUACAGUAUUGCCUUAACAUUGGGAAAGCUUUGUUAAUAAAGUCAUCCAAGUAAUAAUCAGGAUUCAAGAAAGUCAUUGAAACUAUUUGAACCUUUUCAUUAAUAAUUGGAUUAAUCUCGUCUCCGAACUGAGUCUCAGAAUGACGAAGACCCAAAUAAUUUCCAGGAUCAAUGCUUGAUCUAUGAUCAUGCUGUUCACAUCUUUCAAGUAAAUUCUCUGAUAAAAGCUUAGGGAACGACUGGAUGAAUAAUCUAGUUCCCAUUGAAUGAGUCAUAAUGUGGAUAUGUCGAAUUCCUCUAUUCUUUAACCCUAAUAUGAGUUGGUAAAGUGAAUUAUGAGUGUGAGGACUUUCUGCACUCUUUCUAGCCUUGAAAUACUCUAAGAAGGAAUUUCCUGAUGGCCAAGAAAAUACCAUAGGUUUUAUAUACGAGGGAAAGUUUCCAAAAGCAAUCAUCUGUCCAACUUGCCUUAAAGCAUCCAUUAUUGUGUUAUUAUACCCAUGAAUAAAUAUCAGCGCCUCAGCCGCAUGAAGUCCAUCGCUAUGAAUCCAAUUCUUGACUUCCAACUCUGGGUAGUAUACGGUAUUAUCCUGGUUUUCAUCUAAAGCAUCUUUUGAGAAGACGGAAUCAUUGCAAUAUCUAUCAACUACCCUAACUUCAACAGACUCCAAGUACCUAUUAUCUUGAGGCCUAUUUAGAGGAUACUGAGAAGCUUUGAUAAUGGAGGAGCUCGAAAAUGAGCUUGAGAACGGAAUAAGCCCACUAAUGGCAUCAUUCGGGCCCAAAAUUGUACUCUUUAGGUUAUUUUCGCUUAGCAAACUCUCAGGAUCCUGGUUGCUCAAAGCCAACCUCGCUCCUGUUUGUUUUGUAUAACGUAAUACUUCUGAUACUGGAAAGUAUCCGGCAAUAUACAAACCCCUUUCUGCAUCAACCAAAAUAGUGACUUCAUUCUUAGGGUGGAUUGUAAACAUCGGAAUGUGUGGGGAUAAAUUUUGGAAAACCCACAGAAGAGACAAAUCACGCUCCUUGUCCUGUCUGUUUUGGUUCCUUCUUAGCUUUUGUCUAACUUUACGGAUCAUGUGAACUCCUUUUUUCUGUAAGCUUAAAUUCAUUUCACUUUUACACAUCCCUGAUGACAGUUUGGGUUCUACUUCCUUUAAAUUUUGCUCAUUUCCUGACGGUAUAUCAAUU
Molecule: non-coding RNA, 2384 nt
Filed under: Cryptosporidium parvum
Lineage: Eukaryota; Apicomplexa; Conoidasida; Eucoccidiorida; Cryptosporidiidae
Source: RNAcentral